UGCCUGGUGGUCUAGUGGUUAGGACUCUGCACUUUCACUGCUGUGGCCCAGGUUCAAUCCUUGGUCUGAGAA
This 72-nucleotide transfer RNA is filed under the name Sus scrofa (pig). It matches the Rfam family "tRNA". From Rfam's summary of the family: Transfer RNA (tRNA) molecules are approximately 80 nucleotides in length. Their secondary structure includes four short double-helical elements and three loops (D, anti-codon, and T loops). Further hydrogen bonds mediate the characteristic L-shaped molecular structure. tRNAs have two regions of fundamental functional importance: the anti-codon, which is responsible for specific mRNA codon recognition, and the 3' end, to which the tRNAs corresponding amino acid is attached (by aminoacyl-tRNA synthetases). tRNAs cope with the degeneracy of the genetic code in two manners: having more than one tRNA (with a specific anti-codon) for a particular amino acid; and 'wobble' base-pairing, i.e. permitting non-standard base-pairing at the 3rd anti-codon position. Lineage: Eukaryota; Metazoa; Chordata; Mammalia; Artiodactyla; Suidae. The record is from Rfam by way of RNAcentral.